AGCCUGAACGCUGGCGGCGUGGCUAAGACAUGCAAGUCGAACGGGUGUAGCAAUACACCAGUGGCGGACGGGUGAGUAAUGAAUCGCUAACGUACCCUUAGGCUUGGGAUAGCUGCCCGAAAGGGCAGGUAAUACCAGAUGAUAUACCUUGGUCGCAUGGCCGAGGUCUCAAAGCCGCAAGGCACCUUUUGGAGCGGGCGAGUUUCGUAAUCAGCUAGUUGGUGAGGUAACGGCUCACCAAGGCGACGACGCGUAACCGGACUGAGAGGUUGGCCGGUCACAUUGGGACUGAGACACUGCCCAGACUCCUACGGGGGGCUGCAGUAACGAAUCUUCCGCAAUGCACGAAAGUGUGACGGAGCGACGCCGCGUGGAGGAGAAAGUCCCUGGAGUGUAAACUACCUGUCGAGGGAAAGGAAAAGUUACGUUAGAUCUACCCAACCGAGGAAGAAGGACGGCGAACUACUGUUGCCACGCAGCCGC
This 483-nucleotide ribosomal RNA is filed under the name uncultured soil bacterium. RNAcentral's name for it is "bacterial SSU rRNA". It matches the Rfam family "Bacterial small subunit ribosomal RNA", at positions 26 to 518 of the family's 1533-position model. The record is from RNAcentral.